RNAcentral lists this ribosomal RNA (429 nucleotides) under Gemmatimonadota bacterium. Its description in RNAcentral is "Gemmatimonadetes bacterium partial 16S ribosomal RNA". It matches the Rfam family "Bacterial small subunit ribosomal RNA", at positions 355 to 776 of the family's 1533-position model. Lineage: Bacteria; Pseudomonadati; Gemmatimonadota. The record is from RNAcentral.
UAGGGAAUCUUCGGCAAUGGACGAAAGUCUGACCGAGCAACGCCGCGUGAGUGAAGAAGGUUUUCGGAUCGUAAAACUCUGUUGUUAGAGAAGAACAAGGACGUUAGUAACUGAACGUCCCCUGACGGUAUCUAACCAGAAAGCCACGGCUAACUACGUGCCAGCAGCCGCGGUAAUACGUAGGUGGCAAGCGUUGUCCGGAUUUAUUGGGCGUAAAGCGAGCGCAGGCGGUUUCUUAAGUAUGAUGUGAAAGCCCCCGGCUCAACCGGGGAGGGUCAUUGGAAGCUGGGAGACAUGAGUGCAGAAGAGGAGAGUGGAAUUCCAUGUGUAGCGGUGAAAUGCGUAGAUAUAUGGAGGAACACCAGUGGCGAAGGCGGCUCUCUGGUCUGUAACUGACGCUGAGGCUCGAAAGCGUGGGGAGCAAACAGG